RNAcentral lists this long non-coding RNA (243 nucleotides) under Vigna radiata. RNAcentral's name for it is "long non-coding RNA (VRAD_LNC000017)". Lineage: Eukaryota; Viridiplantae; Streptophyta; Magnoliopsida; Fabales; Fabaceae. The record is from RNAcentral.
GUCGGGAUUGGGCCGUGAUUAAGAUUUCGUUAAUCAUAAGCCCAUGAUAAAAACUAUAAAUACAGGUUAAAAAUAUGAGGUAGAUGAUUCACAUUUACUGCACAUUUAUUAUUGUCCUACAUUUGUUAUGGACUAUACACUGACUUGAGCAUCGAAGAACCUUUGGCAAGUAUCCAACCAGACGAUCUUGGGAAGAAGAGUAAAGAGAGUGACCGGACGACAUCAGAAGGACAUGAGAAGAGC